GAUCGUAGUCCGGAUUGGAGUCUGCAACUCGACUCCAUGAAGUCGGAAUCGCUAGUAAUCGCGGAUCAGAAUGCCGCGGUGAAUACGUUCCCGGGCCUUGUACACACCGCCCGUCACACCAUGGGAGUUUGUUGCACCAGAAGUAGGUAGUCUAACCUUAGGGGGGACGCUUACCACGGUGUGGCAGAUGACUGGGGUGAAGUCGUAACAAGGUAGCCGUAGGGGAACCUGCGGCUGGAUCACCUCCUUAA
RNAcentral lists this ribosomal RNA (251 nucleotides) under Salmonella enterica subsp. enterica serovar Oranienburg. RNAcentral's name for it is "partial 16S ribosomal RNA". It matches the Rfam family "Bacterial small subunit ribosomal RNA", at positions 1284 to 1533 of the family's 1533-position model. Lineage: Bacteria; Pseudomonadati; Pseudomonadota; Gammaproteobacteria; Enterobacterales; Enterobacteriaceae. The record is from RNAcentral.